UACGUAGGGGGCAAGCGUUGUCCGGAUUUACUGGGCGUAAAGAGCGUGUAGGCGGCCAAGCAGGUCCGUUGUGAAAACUGGAGGCUUAACCUCCAGACGUCGACGGAAACCGCGUGGCUAGAGUCCGGAAGAGGAGAGUGGAAUUCCUGGUGUAGCGGUGAAAUGCGCAGAUAUCAGGAAGAACACCAAUGGCGAAGGCGGCAUCCUGGACCAACACUGACGCUGAGUGAGCGAAAGCCAGGGGAGCAAACGGG
RNAcentral lists this ribosomal RNA (254 nucleotides) under uncultured bacterium. Its description in RNAcentral is "partial 16S ribosomal RNA". It matches the Rfam family "Bacterial small subunit ribosomal RNA", at positions 524 to 776 of the family's 1533-position model. The record is from RNAcentral.